RNAcentral lists this long non-coding RNA (1159 nucleotides) under Oryza sativa Indica Group (long-grained rice). Its description in RNAcentral is "lncRNA OsLiXu_06g0022240". The record is from RNAcentral. Lineage: Eukaryota; Viridiplantae; Streptophyta; Magnoliopsida; Poales; Poaceae.
UCAUCUUUUACUUAUACACUCUUACAUUCAUCAUUCAACGGUUCAGAUCAUCCGCGUAAAAUCCGAACGGUUCAGAUCGAUCCCACCUCCACCUCCCUCAAUCAGCGGACGACCCGCACGCCCCCCUCCCUAUCGCUCUCCCACCACACCUGCACCUCCGCCCUCCGCCGGAAUUCCACUCCUGCACCUCCGCCAUCAGUGCUCCGCUCCGUAUCAGCCGUCGCGCCGUCCUCUGCAUCGCAUGUCUGCCACCGAUCCCCGCCGCCGGCUCACCUCCACGAUCCUCCGCCUCCCCGCUGCACGAGGUCCUCCCGUCGCCAGGUCGUCGCCGCCGUUCUGCUCCACCGAUCCCCGCCGCACGAGGUGCUCCCGUCGCUAGGUAGCCACCGCGCCGUCCUCUGCAUCGCCUAUCUCCACCAAUCCCCUCUACAUCGCAGGGGUGAGCUGCAGCUAUGGAGUUCCUCGCCGGUGGGGGAGCAGCAGGUGAAUCCCGUGAGAGAGUACAAUGAACGCGGGGUGCUCGGCAAAAUGUCCCGUCUGGCUCCUCACCUGCAAUGCAUGUGUUCUGGAGAGUGUUUAUGGAUUCUGGAUCUUAGACCCCCUCAACGACUUGGAUCGUCAGUAAAGCUUCAUCUUGAAGGUUGACAUGGGAACUUUACUAGCAGAGGAAUGGGCUUAUAUUCUUGGAAAAAAUACAUUUCUCCAUGCAGAAUGUGAUCACAAUAAUGAUACUUGCUGCCAUGAUUUCUAUCACUCAUGCACGCAUUGCCCUUGAUGAUUGUAUGCAGUUGGGAUAUAUUGUCAUCAAGCAAGAAAAUCCUUGGCGAUUCUGGUUUAUAUGACUUCCUGGAAGCAGUAGGAACAACAAGAGUUACUGAACCAGAAAUUGAACUUGCCUUCUUCAUGCAUCAGAUGAACCAUAAAGGGAACAACACUACUACCCUCUCCAAAAUUGAGCUGCUCAGGACUUCGUAGAAAUUUACAGCUUUAGGACAUGUGAUUUAUCCAUUCUCUUUUACUGUUUAUUCUAAAAUGCAAAAAAAAGAAAUUUUGUUGUAGCUUAGAUUAAGGCAGCCUCAGCUUUGUGGUUUGCCAAGCCAUGUACUGAUAUAUGAAUGUGAUACUUUAAUUAAUGUUGAAACGCAUGAUUAUGUAUUUG